This is a long non-coding RNA of Mya arenaria, 560 nucleotides long. RefSeq lists it as uncharacterized. NCBI's taxonomy places the organism in Eukaryota, Metazoa, Mollusca, Bivalvia, Myida, Myidae. The transcript is spliced from 3 exons. The record is from RefSeq and is a predicted model, not a curated record.
UCCGACCUGUCAAUCAAACUAAUCAUUAUUGACCAAUGAGAAAGCUGCAAAUUAUUCACCGAGUCCCGUCCGCCAUCUUUACCCACAAACACAGCAGCGAUAACUGUUUACAACCGGACAUUUUAUUGAAGUUUUAAGACUGAUUUGUGAAAAUGGUUAAACGAUGCGGAUGGGGAAUAUGUUAUGCAGAUUAAGGUAUCCGGAGGGACUAAAUGGAGGCCGAUUUAAACGAUUUCCGACCUAUAAUUAAUAUAAUCCGAUAUUGAGAAGUGCAAAUGCUGGAUUAAAGCCUGUGGACGGCCACAAGAGAAACUGAAUGUCAACAGGAUAAACAAGCACGAAGAUGUCUGCUCGAAGCACUUUCAUGGAGGAAAUGGACCAUCUUAAGAGUAUCCUGACCCACCAUCAGCUGAUGGCUGGAGAAUAACAUCUUCAAGAAAACUCCCCACAAAGCGGUCACUUGGAAAGGAAACUUAUGGCAGCAUUUAUACACAAAAUGCAAGUAGAAAAGCUGGUCCAGGAUCCUGCAGACACUGUACCAGGAGUAGAAACACAGACCG